AUGUUUUCCAUUGCAAGGAAAUCUGCCAGUGGUUACAUUAUUCAAGAUUCGUUCAGAAUUUAUUAUGUUGCUCACAAACAAUCUGAUGGAUUCUUUAUGGUUUCCUCAAGAUCUGGCACUUCUAACUCCGUUUUCCUGGAAGUGUAUUUCACAGCUUCUUCUCCUGAUCUAGGAGAUCCUAUCAGAGGAAUACAAAACAUAUACUGUUGGAUCUAAAUCUAGAUUCACUUACAUAAAGAAGAUCAUUGUGUUUUGGCUAUGGCAAAUCCUAUUCAAUUUUCCUUAAAAAUAGUCAUAAUAUGCUUUUUAAAAGUAUGUUAGUGAUGGUACGUAAAGCAGAAAAAGUGCCUGCCUGUGCACACACAUGUGCAUAGAUGUAUCUGUGUGUACAUAUAUUCAGAGAAUGUAGGAUAGCAUAAUAUAUUCAGUAGUUCAGCUAGCAUGAUUAGCUCAGUUCUCAAAACACCUGGUGCCCACAUCAGUAGACAUUUUCCAAGUCACUGAGAUGACAAAGGUGUACUUACCAUGACCAGUGUUCAGGGGGUAGAGAGAGGGAAGACAAGUGAGAUUUCUCCUUCUUCUUGUUUUUGAGCGUUUAGAGCCAAGUGUUCAUUUUCUCCUUGACUGAUGUCGCAUGUACUUUGUGGGAAGCUACUCAAAGAAGAAAAUAAUCCAAGGUCAGAUGAAAAAUUCUUUUUAAAAGUAAGAAAACAACGAAUAUCCAGAAUGUCAAAAUGAUGUAUUUAUUGAUAAAAGAAGUACUCACCUCUUAAACAGAAGACUAUUAACAGAUGAAAGACUGCCUGGAAUUGAAAGACUGAGGAUGGAAAGAGGUUGGUUGACUUCUUUAUUUUGAUGAGAUGAGCAGUGUUCCUAUAACAUGUCCAUUAAAACUUUAUCUUUGUAAAAUCUGAAAAAUGUUAAAUUUUAUUGUAAAUACAGUAUUUAUUUCACAAAUUUUUUUAAUAAAUGUUAAACAACUGGGAAGCUGUAGUUUUGU
RNAcentral lists this long non-coding RNA (1000 nucleotides) under Oryctolagus cuniculus (rabbit). Its description in RNAcentral is "lncRNA (ENSOCUG00000039528.1)". Lineage: Eukaryota; Metazoa; Chordata; Mammalia; Lagomorpha; Leporidae. The record is from RNAcentral.